This 253-nucleotide ribosomal RNA is filed under the name uncultured bacterium. RNAcentral describes it as "partial 16S ribosomal RNA". It matches the Rfam family "Bacterial small subunit ribosomal RNA", at positions 524 to 776 of the family's 1533-position model. The record is from RNAcentral.
UACGUAGGGUGCGAGCGUUGUCCGGAAUUAUUGGGCGUAAAGGGCUCGUAGGCGGUUUGUCGCGUCGGGAGUGAAAACCCAGGGCUUAACCCUGGGCUGGCUUCCGAUACGGGCAGACUAGAGGUAUGCAGGGGAGAACGGAAUUCCUGGUGUAGCGGUGAAAUGCGCAGAUAUCAGGAGGAACACCGGUGGCGAAGGCGGCUCUCUGGGCAUUACCUGACGCUGAGGAGCGAAAGUGUGGGGAGCGAACAGG